This 465-nucleotide ribosomal RNA is filed under the name Vreelandella stevensii. Its description in RNAcentral is "partial 16S ribosomal RNA". It matches the Rfam family "Bacterial small subunit ribosomal RNA", at positions 338 to 795 of the family's 1533-position model. The record is from RNAcentral. Lineage: Bacteria; Pseudomonadati; Pseudomonadota; Gammaproteobacteria; Oceanospirillales; Halomonadaceae.
CCUACGGGGGGCAGCAGUGGGGAAUAUUGGACAAUGGGCGAAAGCCUGAUCCAGCCAUGCCGCGUGUGUGAAGAAGGCCUUCGGGUUGUAAAGCACUUUCAGUGGGGAAGAAAGCCUUGGGGCUAAUACCCUCGAGGAAGGACAUCACCCACAGAAGAAGCACCGGCUAACUCCGUGCCAGCAGCCGCGGUAAUACGGAGGGUGCGAGCGUUAAUCGGAAUUACUGGGCGUAAAGCGCGCGUAGGCGGUCUGAUAAGCCGGUUGUGAAAGACCCGGGCUCAACCUGGGAACGGCAUCCGGAACUGUCAGGCUAGAGUGCAGUAGAGGAAGGUAGAAUUCCCGGUGUAGCGGUGAAAUGCGUAGAGAUCGGGAGGAAUACCAGUGGCGAAGGCGGCCUUCUGGACUGACACUGACGCUGAGGUGCGAAAGCGUGGGUAGCAAACAGGAUUAGAUACCCCAGUAGUC